UGGUGGAGUGAUUUGUCUGGUUAAUUCCGAUAACGAACGAGACUCUAGCCUGCUAAAUAGACGGGCGAUCCCUUCGUGGGUCGACCCGAUUUGCUUCUUAGAGGGACAAGUGGCGUUCCUAGUCACGCGAAAUUGAGCAAUAACA
RNAcentral lists this ribosomal RNA (145 nucleotides) under uncultured eukaryote. RNAcentral's name for it is "partial 18S ribosomal RNA". It matches the Rfam family "Eukaryotic small subunit ribosomal RNA", at positions 1299 to 1458 of the family's 1831-position model. The record is from RNAcentral.